RNAcentral lists this ribosomal RNA (467 nucleotides) under uncultured bacterium. Its description in RNAcentral is "partial 16S ribosomal RNA". It matches the Rfam family "Bacterial small subunit ribosomal RNA", at positions 28 to 507 of the family's 1533-position model. The record is from RNAcentral.
GACGAACGCUGGCGGCGUGCUUAACACAUGCCAGUCGAACGGAAAGGCCUCUUUCGGGGGGUACUCGAGUGGCGAACGGGUGAGUAACACGUGAGUAACCUGCCCUUGACUUUGGGAUAACUUCAGGAAACUGGGGCUAAUACCGGAUAGGAGCUCCUGCUGCAUGGUGGGGGUUGGAAAGUUUCGGCGGUUGGGGAUGGACUCGCGGCUUAUCAGCUUGUUGGUGGGGUAGUGGCUUACCAAGGCUUUGACGGGUAGCCGGCCUGAGAGGGUGACCGGCCACAUUGGGACUGGGAUACGGCCCAGACUCCUACGGGAGGCAGCAGUGGGGAAUAUUGCACAAUGGGUGGAAGCCUGAUGCAGCAACGCCGUGUGCGGGAUGACGGCCUUCGGGUUGUAAACCGCUUUCGCUCAUGACGAAGCUUUGUGUGACGGUAGUGGGUAAAGAAGCACCGGCUAACUACGUG